AUCUUAUUAAACGAUUUUAAUAAUUUUUUUAUGUUUUUUAAUUUUUUUUUGGAUAAUUUAUAAUAUCAUCUUUUAGAUAAUGUCAGUAUUAUAGGAACACCCUCUUUCUUUCAUCAAAUUAAACUUAGAUUUCUUACCGUUAGUCACUGUCAAGGAAUAUACCUUAUAUACCGAUGUCAGUUACUAUAUUUUAUUUUAAAUACUAAAAUAUCUUUAUUAAAUGUGAAGUGCCUAAAAUACCGAGUGUUUUUUCUCUGCAAAACCCCUCAUCAUCCUCUCAUUCCCGGUCUUUGCCGUUGCCAGAGUAAGAAAGUUGAUAAAAAGACGUUGCAGGCGGCACUGGAUUGGACAUGUGGGCAUAAAUGAAACUCAUAUGAUCUCUACAGAGACAAAAUUCUCCGACCUGCAGAGAUGGUUGCAUCUGAACUUGAUUAUCGACUGCAUGAUAAUUUGAUGGUGAAGAACAAUUUGUUUACAGAUGGGGGAAAUAUGGGGAGUGCAUUCCAACGUCCAAUUCUGUGUAUUUUUUAUAGGAAUUUUGAGCUUUCGGUUGCAAUCCAUCACGAUUUCAGGUAUCAUCCCCUUGUCCAUAAUGUUAUUGGCUUGAAACUUAAUAGGUUGACUAUGCCGGGGGAGAAAGGAGGUAACCGUUCUUAUGAAUUAGAUAUGGCAGACCCAUUUUGGGUGGCAAAUGGGUCAUUGGAAUUCCAAGAAGCAGCAGUGGAGAUAGAAUGAAACUCAUCUGACCCGUUGAUGCGCACAGACAGAAAGAGGGAGAGGGACGACCCAUUUGGCGAUUACUGUUUAAUCCUGUUACGGAAGAUGUUUGACUGAUGCUCGAGGCAUGUUUAUGUACAUACGUAGUUUUUCAAUUAAAUGGUUUAAUAAUAGUCAGUUUAUUAUGGGUUUUGCUCCCAAGUG
Long non-coding RNA from Macadamia integrifolia, 921 nucleotides. RefSeq lists it as uncharacterized. The record is from RefSeq and is a predicted model, not a curated record. Lineage: Eukaryota; Viridiplantae; Streptophyta; Magnoliopsida; Proteales; Proteaceae. The transcript is spliced from 2 exons.